Molecule: ribosomal RNA, 492 nt
Filed under: uncultured bacterium
Lineage: Bacteria
Description: partial 16S ribosomal RNA
Rfam family: Bacterial small subunit ribosomal RNA
Source: RNAcentral
AGUGAACGCUGGCGGUAUGCCUAACACAUGCAAGUCGAACGGCAGCACAGUAAGAGCUUGCUCUUACGGGUGGCGAGUGGCGGACGGGUGAGGAAUACAUCGGAAUCUACUUUUUCGUGGGGGAUAACGUAGGGACACUUACGCUACUACCGCAUACUACCUACGGGUGAAAUCAGGGGAUCUUCGGACCUUUCGCGAUUGAAUUAGCCGAUGUCGGAGUAGCUAGUUGGCGGGGUAAAGGCCCACCAAGGCGACGAUGCGUAGCCGACCUGAGAGGAUGAUCGGCCACACUGGAACUGAGACACGGUCCAGACUCCUACGGGAGGCAGCAGUAGGGAAUAUUCCGCAAUGGGCGAAAGCCUGACGGAGCAAUGCCGCGUGAGUGAUGAAGGUCUUCGGAUCGUAAAACUCUGUUAUUAGGGAAGAAAAGAUGUGUAAGUAACUGUGCACAUCUUGACGGUACCUAAUCAGAAAGCAACGGCUAACUACGUG